UACACGACUCUCGGUAACAGAUAUCUAGGCUCUCGCAUCGAUGAAGAACAUAGCAAACUGCAGUACUUUGUGUGAAUUGCAGAAUCCCGUGAACCAUCGACUCUUUCAACGCAAGUUGUGCCCGAAGCCAUUAGG
This 135-nucleotide ribosomal RNA is filed under the name Marsdenia glabra. RNAcentral's name for it is "5.8S ribosomal RNA". It matches the Rfam family "5.8S ribosomal RNA", at positions 1 to 128 of the family's 154-position model. Rfam says of the family: 5.8S ribosomal RNA (5.8S rRNA) is a component of the large subunit of the eukaryotic ribosome. It is transcribed by RNA polymerase I as part of the 45S precursor that also contains 18S and 28S rRNA. Functionally, it is thought that 5.8S rRNA may be involved in ribosome translocation. Lineage: Eukaryota; Viridiplantae; Streptophyta; Magnoliopsida; Gentianales; Apocynaceae. The record is from RNAcentral.